ACAACAGAUGGUAACUGUGGGCUGGAAACACUAUGACCCCAUCAAAGACCAAUUCAAGCAGGUGUACUCCUCAAAAGGUGGGGGCACCUUCCAGAUUCAUCUAGAUAAAUCUAUGACAUAUGCAGAAGUGCUUGGUCGCCUCAAGAACUUGUUCUUCCCAGGUGGCAAAAAUGGAGACCUUGAAGUUGCCCACCUGACUCUUUCCCUGGGAAAUUACGUCGGGGAUGUCAUCAAACAUGAGCUGACUCUAGAAGAUGGGUCCACAACCACCUUUACCAUCGAGUCUUACUUGGGAUAUUGCAAGACCCAGAAGAUCAGGUUGUAUCUGAUCACAAAAGUAGACCCCCUCAGAGAUAUGUUUGGAGAGGUGUCGGAUAUUUCUGACGAGGAUGAUGCAUUACCCGAUCCUGGUCUGGUACGUGCAUCUACUUGCGGUGUUGUUUGACUGCGGCUUCCGCACCCCGAAGGGACAGACGAUUUAGAUGAUACCAUACCAUUAGUACCAAGGGCUUCAUCUAGUCAAGCUGUGGCUAAUCCCAACCCCAACCCAACUGACUGGCCCAUCAAACAUCAGAUUUUCAGUGUAAUACUUCAAAGUCUGUCAACCCCAACACCAAUUGCAGGGAUGACGAUGACCCACAAGCUAUUUUUCAGUCUGAUCCUUUAAGGUCUGUCAACCCCAACACCAGUUCCUGGGAUGACGAUGACCCACAAGCUGUUUUUCAGUCUGAUCCUUCAAGUUCUGUCAACCCCAACACCAGUUCCUGGAAUGACGAUGACCCACAAGCUAUUUUAGAAACUGCCGAGCUUCACCAAAGCAAUGAAGCUGUAGGAUGUGAAACAAAUGAUUCUAGUGAGAAGUGUGCCGUAACAGUCAUGCAGACCGAUAAUGUCGGUGGACAAAGGAAAUGGGACAAAAAACAAUAUUGCUUUUACUGUGAUGAGCCUCAGGCCAAGUUACCCCGUCAUCUUCAGUCGCGUCACAAAGAGGAGAGGGAAGUUGUAGAGAUAGCA
Asterias rubens (European starfish) is the source of this 1014-nucleotide RNA transcript. RefSeq lists it as uncharacterized. NCBI's taxonomy places the organism in Eukaryota, Metazoa, Echinodermata, Asteroidea, Forcipulatida, Asteriidae. The record is from RefSeq and is a predicted model, not a curated record. The transcript is spliced from 4 exons.